UUCGGAAUUACUGGGCGUAAAGGGCGCGUAGGCGGCCUUCUAAGUCAGACGUGAAAUCCCUCGGCUCAACCGAGGAACUGCGUCUGAUACUGGAAGGCUUGAAUCCGGGAGAGGGAUGUGGAAUUCCAGGUGUAGCGGUGGAAUGCGCAGAUAUCAGGAGGAACACCGGUGGCGAAGGCGGGUCUCUGGGCAGUAACUGACGCUGAGGAGCGAAAGCGUGGGGAGCGAACAGG
RNAcentral lists this ribosomal RNA (233 nucleotides) under uncultured bacterium. Its description in RNAcentral is "partial 16S ribosomal RNA". It matches the Rfam family "Bacterial small subunit ribosomal RNA", at positions 544 to 776 of the family's 1533-position model. The record is from RNAcentral.